This 314-nucleotide unclassified non-coding RNA is filed under the name Hevea brasiliensis (rubber tree). Lineage: Eukaryota; Viridiplantae; Streptophyta; Magnoliopsida; Malpighiales; Euphorbiaceae. The record is from RNAcentral.
GUAAACUGCUUUUUCACACCCUGAAACUCAAGCUCUAAAACAGUGUCCUUCAAUGAAUAUUGACCUGGAGGUGCAAUGUAAGUGAUUUUUCCCAUGGCAUCAGGAGGAAGUGCAACAUGAUGCUGCAUUAGACUGUUUUCAAAGACAGUUGCAUAUAAGUCUCCACCAGUCACAAGAUCUCCCUCACCUAUUUUUUUAGGCUGAAAUUCCCAGGGCGUAUCUUUGUCAAGGGCCGGGACAGACACACCACGAGGGAUAUAGACAUCACCAGAUCUUUUUGCAAUGGUUUUCAAAGGCCUCUGAAUUCCAUCAAA